UAAAGUCUAGUAGCUAUUUAAAAUUUCUUAUUUAUCCUAUAAAUAAUAUUUUCGUUUAUAGAUUAGGCCAAUCAAAUAAACACAUUAUUAUUUGUCCAGAAACAAUACUUUUGAUGGCAUUUGAUUGAAUUAUUGGAAUAACAUAAGAGAGAUACAAUAUAUAUAUAUAUAUAUAUGAAUGAGAAAUUGCACCGUACACACAAGACAUAUACGCUAAUUAGGUAGAUGCACUAUUUACAUUAUCGAGGAUGUCAGGAGGUGUUAGUUUUACAUUUCUAACCUUGCUCACUUCAUAUUCACAUCAACCGGUUACCUACUGUUCUUGUAAUAUAAUUUACUUCUUUAAUUAUUUAUUUUUUAUUACCCAAUCCAACACGUUACCUUUUUUGUGUCAGGCACGUAGAUUUUUUUCGGUUAUCGAAACUCGGUUAUUGGCUUCGUAGUUGUGCAUAUCAAAAGUCUCUCACUUCAUCCCCUUUUAUAUUAAGUUCUGUUGAUCCAUUGUUCUACUUCAAUUCAACCAUUUUAAAUUAGAUCCCAAUUUUAUACUUCAAUUCAAAAAUAAAUUCAGAUGGAUGGAAGCGAUGAACCUCCCUCUCCGCCCCCGUUUCCUCCUAGAAUGUUUGCGCUAGGCGAUGAACCUGUCGGCGUUACUCCUUACCACAAACCUACAUGCAUUCGGAAAAUUCUCAACGCCCUCGAACCAGAUGAAGCUCAGACUAUCAGGGAGACCCAGUUCGGAAAGCUUGUCGAAAUUGCAGACAAACCCUCGUUUUCUGGCCGGUUUGGUCCGUUCCUGUUAUCCCGACAAUUGAAGGUGGCGAAGAAGCACGAAGUUCGGUUUCUAUUUGCUGGCAAACCGGUUAGAUUCUCACAAUUGAAGGUGACGGACCGACAAUACAGGUGGAGAAGACAUGAUUCCAGUUACCGACAAUCGUGAGGCUGAAGAAAUCCGUGAGGGUGAUGGGACCGACAAUACAGGUGGAGAAGACAUGGAAAGACAUCCUCGUUAGUUUCAGAAUCGUCCAAAUUUAUAUUUGGAUUUUGAAAUACUAAUAUUAGCAACAAUACACUCCACACUACCUACAUUGCUACGACUGUACUUAGCUUCUAUUCAGAAAGAUUGCAGACACCAUGUUUUGUUUGGACAGUCAAUGAUGUUUGUGUCCCUUUUUGUACUGAUUUAUCUAUAUAUAAUAACGAAUCCUUGUUCUCCCUUAUCAACUUCCUUUUUGUAGCGAUGACACUCCAUAGCUAACUUUAAAUAUACUCAUCCAGUAUUAUUCUUAGCCGGCUACAAACGAUUCAAAGACGUUAACUUAAAUAAUUGGCCACAAUGACAAUGGAGCAAACUAAUAUUUUAGUUAACUAGACAGCUUCUGUAACUAGUAUUAAUAAAAUAUCACGAAACAAGAUUCUGUAACUACAAAGUCUACAAUCAAUACACAGAAACGGAGGAGUGGUAUUGGUUUUGUUAACUAGACAGCUUUUUAUGGUGAGAGUUUGCUUGUUGGCUUCCUUUUAUAGACAAACCCCGUUAGCAGUUGAGAGUUGACGCUACACCUGCAUAAAAAAGUGUUACACGGUCACUAAACGGUAUAGCUUACAAUACUUUAUUUAACGCGCUAACAUAUCUAACAAAUCUUCGACACCAAUAUUUGCUAACUAAUUUAAUAUUUUAACACAGGACCAGUGCAAAGUUUCCUUUAGUUUGUUAAUAACUUUUUUAGCAUAUGCAAUAAUCUUCCGAUAUACAUGCUAAAAAUUCUAGAAUAUCUAUUUAACAUUCUUUUUAGCGGUUAUUACUUUUUAAAGCUGGUUACCUUAGAUUUUUGUUUGCUAACCUAAACCCAAAAACAUGCUAACUUUUUGCUAAAUUUGCUUGAUUUACCCAAAGGUAAGCCGUUGCCGGACGGUCUAAUCGGUAUUCCACCGAAAACAUACCGGAGACAGGAAAACGCGACAGAGAGAAUUUGGCUUCCACAAUAGCUUGAUUCAGCACAGACGAAAUCAAAAACAACGCUUCAGAACAUCAAACCCAGAACCAAUCGAAUCAAACAAAUAAAAGCAAACGAAAGUCUCAAAUCCUUGCAUGCAAAUCAAAAGCUUGAAGAUGAUUGAACCCUAACAGAGAGGGCAGGAUGAAACAAAUCGAUCUAAGAUUUUGAUCCGAUUGAAACCUUUCUAAAAGAGAAGCGAGGUUGAUUCAGAGAAACUAAAAAAAAAACAAAUAAAAAAAAAACAAAA
Molecule: long non-coding RNA, 2247 nt
Organism: Brassica rapa (field mustard)
Lineage: Eukaryota; Viridiplantae; Streptophyta; Magnoliopsida; Brassicales; Brassicaceae
Source: RefSeq, a predicted model, not a curated record